Long non-coding RNA from Siniperca chuatsi (mandarin fish), 1071 nucleotides. RefSeq lists it as uncharacterized. The transcript has 4 exons. The record is from RefSeq and is a predicted model, not a curated record. NCBI's taxonomy places the organism in Eukaryota, Metazoa, Chordata, Actinopteri, Centrarchiformes, Sinipercidae.
CUGGUUUAGUAAAACACAAGAUGUUGCCAAGAUUUUCACUAAAAUCUGAAUCAUGCAAUUUUAACAAACAAUUAUAAGUUGAAUGUUCCAGAAAAAACAUGCUGAAGCGUCUGCUGAGGCCGGUGUGUUGUUUCCCUGCAGAUCUGCAGCCGAGGAGGAGGAAGAGCGGUACAAGUUUCUCUUCUGGGAAGCUCUUGUCUGUUAAUUAGCGGUGAGCAGAUGGAAGAAAGUCCACAUCUCGCAGGGGAUCAAUUCUACCCAAGAAGCAGCAACAGCAGCGGCGGCGGCGGCAGCAGCAACCUCAGUUUAUUUAUUUCUUAGCUCAGCAGCGGCGGGGCAAUGUCACCUCCCAAACGUGUGAGGAAGAAGAGGAGGAGAACCCGGGAGAGUUUGGAAGAGAAGUCUUAGACACACACAAGAUGUGAGGAGCGCCUCGUUUUCAGAGAUUUCCUCAGAGACCGUGAAAGGAGCGGCGUUCAGCUGGCGGUUGAGUGUUGAGUGGAAGUCUCUCCAGUCACUCAGCGCUGCCAGAGCUGCAUGAUGAUCAACACGUCCAGUCAGAGCUGUUGGAAACGCCAGGUGCAAAACGAUUAUAUAGAAAUAUUUAGUGAAGGUGCUGGCCAACCACCGGGAGCAAUGUGGGUUUCAAUGUCUUGACCAAGGACACUCAACAUGUGGACACGGAGGAGGUGGAUCAAACCGCCAACACUGUGAUCAGUGGACAACCCACUCCACCCACUGUACUGCUGUAAAGCUGGAAAGUCGAUGUAUCGAAUACUGCAUCUCCUACUGUGUGGAAAACAAAACAGCAGGACCAGAACAAACAGUACAAGCUCAACAAAGUGAGGACGACUGACAUUCAAGACAUUUGGGCUUAAUAUCCAAACAUUCUGUCCAAAUAAUGGUUUUUACAAACAGGGAGGGAGGUGAAGACAUGUUUGAAGUUGGCUUCAUGAGUUCUGGACCUGAUGGUGUUACAACAGGAGAGAAACAGUGUUAUUAAGGAGCCGAAUUAUUAACUGAAAGUGAAUCAUUCAAGAACAGAGGAGCUGCAGUGAUGACACCGUGUGC